Non-coding RNA from Chelonoidis abingdonii (Abingdon island giant tortoise), 1373 nucleotides. The record is from RefSeq and is a predicted model, not a curated record. NCBI's taxonomy places the organism in Eukaryota, Metazoa, Chordata, Testudines, Testudinidae.
UGUGACACUUGCCUCUCACCUCUGAUACAAAUUCUCUCUAGUUCUGCCCCUUUUCUCUCUCAGUAUCUCACACGGGGCUAUAAAAUCUGGGGCGAUUUCCCCCAUUUCCCCUCAAAUGAUCAGCUCUCCCAUCUCCCCCUAAUUAGGUUGGUGGGUUCUGGAGAUUUGGGCUUUCAGGGGGUGGUUGUGAUGUGCCCAGCCCUGAGGCUAUGGGUCUUGGAGGUGGGUAUCGCUGGGGGCCUGUUGGCUGCAGAACAGCAGGGAUGGGCAUCUCUUGGGGAGGUGGGACAGGGGGUUAAGGGGAGCCUGGUGCUGUGCCGGGGGCUCUGUCUGGGCUUCCCCCGCAGACUCCUGGAAUUGCUGCCAUGCCCAGUGCACAGAGUGUGUGUGGGAGAAUCCCCGGAGCUAGGCCAGGGGAUCCCACAGGGGGAAAGAGGGAGUGCCAGGCAAAAGGGCAGGGAAGAUUCUUCUAGAGGGCAGGGGGGAUCCUAGGCAGGCAGUGAGGGACUGAGUUACCAGUGGGGGGUCCCUUUUGGGGGGUCUCUGGCUGUGGGGGUCUCUUGGUUGGGGGAACCCUUUGGGAUUUCCAACCUGACAAUGAAGAUCUGGUGGGGGUUCUUUGGCCGGUGGGGCUCUGAGGGAUAUGUGAGGUCCCUGGGCAGGGAGUCUGGGUCUCAGGGAAUAUCUGUGGGGUGGGCGGGGGGCUGACUGGGCUCUAGGAGCUGCUCCUGACCUCACUUCUUCUCCCUGAUUAGCUUAUGCCAGAAUCCUGGCUCCAAGCUCUGCCCGACCUUCCCCGGCCAGGCCAAGACACUGUGAUAACUUUCUAGCCACUUACCAAACACUGUGAGACAGGCUGCAGAAUGACAUCCCUGUUUUGCUCCAGCUCAUCCCAGCCUGGCGUGGGACAGGGAAGAGAAAUGGCUGCAGUGGAGCCAACUCAGGGGCCGGUGACCUUCGAGGAGGUGGCUGUGAAGUUCACCAGGGAAGAGUGGAUUCUGCUAGACCCCACUCAGAGAGUCCUCUACUGGGAUGUCAUGCAGGAGAACUAUGAGAAUGUGAUGUCUCUGGGUAAGGGUUCCUGUCCCCUCAGUUCUUGGAAGGGGAAAUGAAGAGUUAAGGUUCACGCCAGCCCCACAAUGCCACCUCUACUCUGUCCUGUUUCAGCAUCACCCCAACAUGCCAGUGACACACCCACACACACUACCAGAGACCCUCCCUUGCUGCAGAACACUUUGAGAACAGAGCACAGGAGCCAUAUUGCCACAGUGUCAAAUAGCUCCAGUUUGCUCAAGUGAAACUGGAGGUUAGGUAUGGCAUAACUGUUCCAGCCCCCUAAUCAUUUUUGUUGCCCUUUUCUGAACCUUUUCCAA